This 209-nucleotide unclassified non-coding RNA is filed under the name Hevea brasiliensis (rubber tree). Lineage: Eukaryota; Viridiplantae; Streptophyta; Magnoliopsida; Malpighiales; Euphorbiaceae. The record is from RNAcentral.
GUAUCUAUCCCUGUUGAAAAGGUAAUCUUAUCGCAUUGAUAUACUUUUUUUCCUCAAUCAUAGGGCAAGUUUUUUAUUGAUUUUAUCUGUAAGGUUUUGUUAUCAUCAUAAGGACUAUUUGCAGUCUGCACUCUUUUUUGAGUGGGAUGUGAACUAAAUUUGUGUUGGACUUGGACUUUCUCUUCCCUCAACCCUUUCUUUCUUUGCCU